CUGGGCUCACCUGGUUUGAAGAGCACAAUGGCCUUCAUGCACGCGAACUCUGUGGGGUCUGUGGUCAGGGACUUGAAGCGGCUGAUGGUUUCCUGCAGGAUGCGGAUGUCCACGCUGGCAGACACCAGUUUCCCGUGGAUGUUGGGGGAGAGCUCAGGCACAGAGAGCAGCGGGCAGCUUUCCAAGGGCAUGGACCAUUGGAUGGCGCAGAGCAGGAACAGCUCGCUCCAGGCUUCCUCCAGCAAAAUCACCUGCCAAGGCGCAAGAGGAAGGAACAUUAACAUCUGGACCCCACUAUGCUAAGUGCUGCCCAGACAGAGCAAGAAGCCAGACCCUGCCCUGGAGAGCUGUGUCCCCGCAGAGGCCAGCGCUGAUCAAGAAAUGCCAGUGAAUUGAAAAAUCCAUGAUUCACCCAACUCUGCUAAUGAUCCAUCUUUAAGACUGAGGCUGCCUUCUGGCAAGGGUUCACACUGCAGGGGUCAUGACCUCCAGGGGUGGGACUUACCUCCUCGGUACCCAAUCAACUUGCCAGCACCCUGUUAACUGGCAUAAAGUGGACCCAGCUGGAGCCACCUUCCUCUUUAAUAUGGAGAUGGAGACUACAGCUCCCACCAUGCAGUGCACCAUCCCAAUCCAGGCAGAGGCUGCUCCUAGCUGCACCCAGGCUGCGAAGUAUUUACCCAUUCUCCUUUGAGGAUGAUAUAUUAUUUGUUGCAGGUCAUGGUCACCGUGUGGCACUUUCCAAACAGAAGGAAGGCGCAGCCUCUGUCCCAGAGAGCUUACAACCCAAGUGACACAGCAAAGAGAUCCAGGGGAGGGGACAGGGGUGUAACACGUGAGAAGAAAAGUCAUCUGGGGGUGAAUAAUGGAAUGGUUUGAUAGCACAAUGAAUUGUUUUAUGUGCAUCCCCAAGUUCUCAGAGUCUUCCCUUGAUCAGCUGGCUGGUUGGUUUCUUGUUGGCAUCGUGGAAGAAACUAGAAUGUGGAGAGAGAGACUUGAUCAGUCCUGUUUUCAUAGAGAGCCAGAUCCUUGCUGGUGUGGAUCAGCUUGGCUCCAAUGAAAUCAAUAGGGCUGUGCCAAUGACACCAGCUGGGGGUCUGGCCCCUAGACCAGAAAUGACUACGACCUGCCUGGGUCUCCUGGAACUACGAUGGGCUCACUGUUAGCUCUGUAUUGGAGAUCUCGCUCUCUCUGUCAUUCCCUGGCCCUCUCCCCUUUGUUCUCAGCUUAGGGGCUGAACGUUCCCAUUGUCCUGAGCUGAAGAUAUUACGUUGCCCAUAAAGCCUCUUGCUGAUUAGACUCAGGGAGAUCAAGGAGGACAGAGCACGUUCUCACACACCUGCCACAGAGCACAAGGCUUGGAGAUGGUAAGAGUCCAUGGGGCUUGCAGGGGGGUUAGAAGGAGCCCACCUGCCGCUAACUAUGCCAGGGAAAUCCCAUGCUGUGAAACUGAUUUGAAAUACUGACUCGGACUCCGACCCCAUCUCCAUUCCCUUUCUCUAAAAGGGAGUGUUGAAGAGAAGGGUCCUGAGAGCUCGGUGAGAUCCAGAGAACGAGGAUUGGACGUAUUUUCUUCAUUUGGACUCCAGAAAAGGAGUGUGGCCUAGUGCAGUGGUUUUCAAACUUGUUUUUUCGUGGACACUUGAAAAUUGCUGAGGGUCUCGGUGGAGCACUUAAUGAUCUUUACAAGUGUUGUUUUUACUGUUAGCUAACUAUU
Mauremys mutica (yellowpond turtle) is the source of this 1717-nucleotide long non-coding RNA. RefSeq lists it as uncharacterized. The transcript is spliced from 4 exons. The record is from RefSeq and is a predicted model, not a curated record. Lineage: Eukaryota; Metazoa; Chordata; Testudines; Geoemydidae.